RNAcentral lists this signal recognition particle RNA (90 nucleotides) under Coriobacteriales bacterium. Its description in RNAcentral is "signal recognition particle sRNA small type". It matches the Rfam family "Bacterial small signal recognition particle RNA". From Rfam's summary of the family: The signal recognition particle (SRP) is a universally conserved ribonucleoprotein involved in the co-translational targeting of proteins to membranes. Archaeal SRP consists of a 7S RNA and homologues of the eukaryotic SRP19 and SRP54 proteins. The record is from RNAcentral. Lineage: Bacteria; Bacillati; Actinomycetota; Coriobacteriia; Coriobacteriales.
CAAGGCUUGGGCGGCGGCACGCUCCGAACCUGGUCAGGUCUUGACGGAAGCAGCCAUAAGGACCCUCUGCCGAGCGCCCAAGCCACCUCU